AGCAGCCGCGGUAAUUCCAGCUCCAAUAGCGUAUAUUAAAGUUGCUGCAGUUAAAAAGCUCGUAGUUGAAUUUCGGGACUAAUAUGUUGGUCGUGCCUCGGUACGUACUGAUAUUUUUGGUUUCUCCCUUCUGACGAACCUUGAUGUCAUUAAUUUGGUGUCUUGGGAAAUCAGGACUGUUACUUUGAAAAAAUUAGAGUGUUUAAAGCAGGCUCACGCUUGAAUACAUUAGCAUGGAAUAAUGAAAUAGGACGUUUGAUUCUAUUUUGUUGGUUUCUAGGAUCGACGUAAUGAUUAAUAGGGAUAGUUGGGGGCAUUAGUAUUCAAUUGUCAGAGGUGAAAUUCUUGGAUUUAUUGAAGACUAACUACUGCGAAAGCAUUUGCCAAGGAUGUUUUCAUUAAUCAAGAACGAAAGUUAGGGGAUCGAAGACGAUCAGAUACCGUCGUAGUCUUAACCAUAAACUAUGCCGACUAGGGAUCGGAUGAUGUUAAUUUUUUAAUGACUCAUUCGGCGCCUUAU
RNAcentral lists this ribosomal RNA (520 nucleotides) under uncultured Glomus. RNAcentral's name for it is "SSU rRNA". It matches the Rfam family "Eukaryotic small subunit ribosomal RNA", at positions 569 to 1091 of the family's 1831-position model. Lineage: Eukaryota; Fungi; Glomeromycota; Glomeromycetes; Glomerales; Glomeraceae. The record is from RNAcentral.